ACGCACGCUGGCGGCGUGCCUAAUACAUGCAAGUCGAGCGGACUGAAUGGGAGCUUGCUCUUGUUCGGUCAGCGGCGGACGGGUGAGUAACACGUGGGCAACCUGCCCGCAAGACCGGGAUAACUCCGGGAAACCGGAGCUAAUACCGGAUAACACCGAAGACCGCAUGGUCUUUGGUUGAAAGGCGGCGCAAGCUGCCACUUGCGGAUGGGCCCGCGGCGCAUUAGCUAGUUGGUGAGGUAACGGCUCACCAAGGCGACGAUGCGUAGCCGGCCUGAGAGGGUGACCGGCCACACUGGGACUGAGACACGGCCCAGACUCCUACGGGAGGCAGCAGUAGGGAAUCUUCCGCAAUGGGCGAAAGCCUGACGGAGCGACGCCGCGUGAGCGAAGAAGGCCUUCGGGUCGUAAAGCUCUGUUGUGAGGGACGAAGGAGCGCCGUUUGAAGAAGGCGGCGCGGUGACGGUACCUCACGAGGAAGCCCCGGCUAACUACGUG
Molecule: ribosomal RNA, 498 nt
Filed under: uncultured bacterium
Lineage: Bacteria
Description: partial 16S ribosomal RNA
Rfam family: Bacterial small subunit ribosomal RNA
Source: RNAcentral